CCCUUAGAUGUCCUGGGCUGCACGCGCGCUACACUGAUGUGUCCAGUAAGCACCUAACCUCUUCCGAAAGGAACGGGUAACCUUUGCAAAGCACAUCGUGAUGGGGAUAGAUUAUUGCAAUUAUUAGUCUUGAACGAGGAAUUCCUAGUAAGCACAAGUCAUCAGCUUGUGUUGAUUACGUCCCCGCCCUUUGUACACACCGCCCGUCGCUCCUACCGAUUGAAUGUUCCGGUGAGCUCUUCGGACUGCGCGGUCUGCAGUUUCUGCGUUCCGUGCGGAAAGUUGCGCAAACCUUAACAUUUAGAGGAAGGAGAAGUCGUAACA
This 324-nucleotide ribosomal RNA is filed under the name uncultured eukaryote. RNAcentral's name for it is "partial 18S ribosomal RNA". It matches the Rfam family "Eukaryotic small subunit ribosomal RNA", at positions 1470 to 1796 of the family's 1831-position model. The record is from RNAcentral.